AUAAAAUUCUAGGUAGAAUUAUGAUGAUGACAUUGUCUAUCUAUGUGUCUUGACCAAAUUACGUGCCAGCAGUCGCGGUAAUACGUAUAAGGCUAGUGUUAUUCAUGUUUAAUCGGUUUAAAGGGUACCUAGACGGUAAAUCAAGCUUUAAAAAUACAGAUGUUAAUUUUAAUAUAUUAAUAUUAUUAAAAGGACUAAUUUACUAGAGUUACUAAUGGCGGGGCUUUAAAGUACUAUUGGUGGAGAGAUAAAAUUCUUAGAUACCUCUUAUGGCACAUAUAUAGGCGAAGGUAUCCCCUUAUGUGAUAACUGACGUUGAGGGACGAAGGCU
RNAcentral lists this ribosomal RNA (331 nucleotides) under Pseudoparmelia floridensis. RNAcentral describes it as "SSU rRNA". It matches the Rfam family "Bacterial small subunit ribosomal RNA", at positions 448 to 761 of the family's 1533-position model. Lineage: Eukaryota; Fungi; Ascomycota; Lecanoromycetes; Lecanorales; Parmeliaceae. The record is from RNAcentral.